UCCCUGGUUGUCUAGUGGUAAGGAUUCGGCACUCUCACCGCUGUGGCCCGGGUUCGAUUCCGGGUCAGGGAA
Molecule: transfer RNA, 72 nt
Filed under: Ameiurus melas (black bullhead)
Lineage: Eukaryota; Metazoa; Chordata; Actinopteri; Siluriformes; Ictaluridae
Rfam family: tRNA
About the family: Transfer RNA (tRNA) molecules are approximately 80 nucleotides in length. Their secondary structure includes four short double-helical elements and three loops (D, anti-codon, and T loops).
Source: Rfam by way of RNAcentral